CGUGUUUCAAACAGAGCUUCUACGUUUGCCGGUCAUUAUGCGUUGGUUUGUAUUUGAUCCCUCCAACCUCACUCCAGCAGAGCAGUGGAUCUUGGAGUUAACAAACCACUGAGAUUCAUGGGGCAGUGGACAUCUCUCAGAACCAUUGCUUCAGGCUUCCUGCAGACACUGGCAGACAUCACUUAAUUAUCAGGACAUUCAAACGCUGAAAGGGAAACCAUUCUGGUGGUAGGGCAGGAGUAACACCACAGAGAUAGAAGAGGAAGGCACAGAUAGACCCUGGAAGACCUGUUCUUUGACAUAGCUAGGAGAAGUCCGAUGUAGGUAUGCCAGUCAGCUCAGGUUCCGUGUUCUGAGAUGGAGUUUCUGUGGAUGCAGGACACGGCCUGAGUCCUGGGACAGCGGGUGAGACAGAAGUGGGAGUGCGAUUCAUGGAUGCACGGUCAUGCUGAGGGAUUCGGAGUUAUAGGUUCCCAAGGAUCAGAGAGUCGCUCAUGAGACCGUGAGUGAAUGGAGUGAGUCAUCUGCCUUUUUGGCGAAUAAAUUGGGCUGGCAAGUCUUCCACCGUGGAUUGCACUUCUUCAGGGAAGCCAGAAAGAUAGAGCCAUUAGGCCCUUCUCAUUACAACCACCGUCACAGAUGUUGCAGCCCUGUCCUCAGAAUCAAGUCCUGCAAAUUAUUCUCCCUUGUC
This is a long non-coding RNA of Mauremys reevesii (Reeves's turtle), 691 nucleotides long. RefSeq lists it as uncharacterized. The transcript has 5 exons. NCBI's taxonomy places the organism in Eukaryota, Metazoa, Chordata, Testudines, Geoemydidae. The record is from RefSeq and is a predicted model, not a curated record.